Molecule: ribosomal RNA, 252 nt
Filed under: uncultured bacterium
Lineage: Bacteria
Description: partial 16S ribosomal RNA
Rfam family: Bacterial small subunit ribosomal RNA
Source: RNAcentral
UACGAAGGGUGCAAGCGUUACUCGGAAUUACUGGGCGUAAAGCGUGCGUAGGCGGUUUGUUAAGUCUGUCGUGAAAGCCCUGGGCUCAACCUGGGAAUGGCGAUGGAUACUGGCAAGCUAGAGUACAGUAGAGGAUGGUGGAAUUCCCGGUGUAGCGGUGAAAUGCGUAGAGAUCGGGAGGAACACCCGUGGCGAAGGCGGCCAUCUGGACCAGUACUGACGCUGAGGCACGAAAGCGUGGGGAGCAAACAG